UCGAGCGCGUGAAUCAACAUGAUCCCUUCGGGGUGAUUGUUGUGGAUCGAGCGGCGGACGGGUGAGUAACACGUGGGCAACCUACCCAUGAGAUCGGGAUAACUCCGGGAAACCGGAGCUAAUACCGAAUAACCCAGUGAACUGCAUGGUUCACUGGUAAAAGGCGGUUUCGGCCGUCACUCAUGGAUGGGCCCGCGGCGCAUUAGCUAGUUGGUAAGGUAACGGCUUACCAAGGCAACGAUGCGUAGCCGACCUGAGAGGGUGAUCGGCCACACUGGGACUGAGACACGGCCCAGACUCCUACGGGAGGCAGCAGUAGGGAAUCUUCCGCAAUGGACGAAAGUCUGACGGAGCAACGCCGCGUGAACGAUGAAGGUCUUCGGAUCGUAAAGUUCUGUUGUUAGGGAAGAACAAGUACCAGAAGAAAUGCUGGUACCCUUGACGGUACCUAACCAGAAAGCCACGGUNAACUACCUGNCACCAGCCCCGGUAAUACCNUAAGU
This 503-nucleotide ribosomal RNA is filed under the name Bacillus sp. HPB-24. Its description in RNAcentral is "bacterial SSU rRNA". It matches the Rfam family "Bacterial small subunit ribosomal RNA", at positions 62 to 532 of the family's 1533-position model. Lineage: Bacteria; Bacillati; Bacillota; Bacilli; Caryophanales; Bacillaceae. The record is from RNAcentral.